UCCAUGAGUAAAGUGGCGCACGGGUGAGUAACACGUGACUAACCUACCCUUGAGUGGGGGAUAACUGGGAGAAAUCCUAGCUAAUACCGCAUAAUACCUACGGGUCAAAGGAGCAAUUCGCUCGAGGAGGGGGUCGCGGUCGAUUAGUUAGUUGGCGGGGUAAUGGCCCACCAAGACUGUGAUCGAUAUCCGGCCUGAGAGGGCGCACGGACACACUGGAACUGAAACACGGUCCAGACUCCUACGGGAGGCAGCAGUGGGGAAUUUUGCGCAAUGGGGGAAACCCUGACGCAGCAACGCCGCGUGGAGGAUGAAGUACUUCGGUACGUAAACUCCUUUCGAUCGGGACGAUUAUGACGGUACCGAGAGAAGAAGCCCCGGCUAACUUCGUGCCAGCAGCCGCGGUAAUACGAGGGGGGCGAGCGUUGUUCGGAAUUAUUGGGCGUAAAGGGUGCGUAGGCGGUUUGGUAAGUCUUGUGUGAAAUCUACAGGCUCAACUUGUAGUCUGCACGAGAAACUGCCGGGCUUGAGUAUGGGAGAGGUGAGUGGAAUUCCUGGUGUAGCGGUGAAAUGCGUAGAUAUCAGGAGGAACACCUGUGGCGAAAGCGGCUCACUGGACCAUAACUGACGCUGAUGCACGAAAGCUAGGGGAGCAAACAGGAUUAGAUACCCUGGUAGUCCUAG
Molecule: ribosomal RNA, 684 nt
Filed under: uncultured Acidobacteriota bacterium
Lineage: Bacteria; Pseudomonadati; Acidobacteriota
Description: bacterial SSU rRNA
Rfam family: Bacterial small subunit ribosomal RNA
Source: RNAcentral